Daphnia pulex (common water flea) is the source of this 437-nucleotide long non-coding RNA. RefSeq lists it as uncharacterized. The record is from RefSeq and is a predicted model, not a curated record. NCBI's taxonomy places the organism in Eukaryota, Metazoa, Arthropoda, Branchiopoda, Diplostraca, Daphniidae. The transcript has 3 exons.
UCUUUGUUGGAUCUCUCAAUUUUGCUGGCGAGAACUGCAACAGCAUGUUUGUUGUUGUGGCUGUUUUUACUUCUGUUUAGAGGCAACCUAGCUAAGAGCUCCCAUUUGAUAAAGCAUCAGGAAAUUUAUCCCACCCGAGGAGUAAUGCAGUUGGUUGCUGUAAUUCCAUCAUUACGGUUCUUCAUCAUGAACAUUUCAGUGUGCUUCUUAGAAAAGAGCACGCAAGAUCCCCACUGACAUCCUUGAGCCAAUGCUGGAUUUUGCCCAUGAGAGAAGAGGGACUUCCACCAACGUUCUGCUCCAUCCUUAUCUUCAAGACUCAUCCAGCUUCACUGUUUCAGUGCUUCUUAUGCUGCUAGUCCUGCUACACAACUUUUCUUGCUUCACUGGCGAGUUGGAUCACUUCAGUUGCUGGACACGUACUGCAUGCAGUCACU